UUACCGAAAAACUCGAUGGUGAUGUAACUGAACGGACGUGGUCGAUUGGUGGGUCUUGUUCCACAGGAAUCAUGUUGUAUCAACAGUUUCUUGCUCAAAGGACGGAGUAUGUUAGUGGUGUCAUUAAGGAGGACUUGAGUAACCCUAGCUUCAAAAUAAGAAUGACAAUAGCUGACGCACAAUUGGCUACGUAUAUUUCGAUCAACAAAAGAGUACCUGGAAGAGGCUAAAAUUGUAGUUCAUCUAUGUUUUUCCCACCGGAUGAAGCCUGUCAAAAAUUCCACAUGGGAACCAUGUAGAUCAAAUAUAUUUGAUGCAGGUAAUGUGUGUAUCAACAGGCAACUUCAGGAUGGAGUUUAAGCGUAAGAUGGAGCAUCAGGCACCUUCGAAAUGGAGUUGUGCGAAUUGUUGAUGCGUUCAUUUAAACGCGCGCCUUCAAUCUGAUGAAAACCACAUAAGUCGGUACGAAGAGGAAGGGUUUCUAGCGUGUACAUUAUUUGGCGGUAGGCUCUACGAUUGGAGGAUAUAGCAGCAGCGGAUAUUAAAUGAAACUAAACACUACCCUCAUUUACUUACAAUGAUUUCCUAUCUACGUCGAUUUCUAAGUCUGCUGCGUAGAGUAUUUUAGAAAACAAGAGCAUCUUUGAAAAUGGGAAAUGGAGAUGAACGUCGAAGAGGAUACUUGAAGAAAAAGUCGCCAUAAUCUGAGAAAAAAAAGUCGAUAUAGAUGUGGAAAUCUACGAUUAUGGGAAGCCAUUACAAUAUGAAGGAGCUUUAUAAUGCUAAAGCAUGAGUGGAGGUUAAUAAAAUCGGCGUGGUUGGAAAGUUAAAGAAAGUGGAAGCAUAUAAUUUUCGAAUUUAAAAUAAGGUAUAUAAUGUUUGAAUUGAAAAAGUUCAUUCUAGUUUGUGUGUAUAUUCAUACACCUUUCAGAAAAUUUAACCCCAACCGCAAGGAAGGAAUAAAAACCAUUUAUUCUGGCUUUUAUUUUCUCUAGAUUCAUAAUUUGUAUCCUAAUUUUAAAUUUUCUCCUAAUUUUUCUGAACUAAAAUAAGAAAUUAGUCAAAUUUCUCUUCUACCUACCUUUCUCUUCAAUUACGUUGGUCUGGUAUCUUGGUACCCAUUUCGUGCUUAAGUUUUUACUUCUGUGCAUCAGAGUACCCAGUAUAUCUUUUGUAGCAAGUUUUACUAUCGUCAUCAAGUCUCCUUGCCUAAUACGCGACGAUCUGCUGCUUAACACUAUUGUCGCCUUCCAGACGACUUUAACCUUUAAGCAAAGUCUUCUCUCCACUGCGAGGUCUAAGCAUAAUCAGUGGUGUCUCCUCUCAGUCUUCACCGAAAUGUUUCUUAGCAUAUACGAAAUUAUUCCUCUUAAUAAUCUCCGCGCAUGAUGAACUCAGCGUCAGGCUAAAUCAUUCUCUUACAGAUAUUAACCAAAUUGUUGAAAAUUUUAACAAACAGGCAAGUGUUCUCUUAAGAUACUAUAGUUAUUUAACGUAAACUUAAA
Long non-coding RNA from Macrobrachium nipponense, 1505 nucleotides. RefSeq lists it as uncharacterized. The transcript has 3 exons. NCBI's taxonomy places the organism in Eukaryota, Metazoa, Arthropoda, Malacostraca, Decapoda, Palaemonidae. The record is from RefSeq and is a predicted model, not a curated record.